CAGUUACACAGUUUGACAGUUAGACAGUUAGACAGUUAGAGCAUUGGGCCAAUAACCAAAAGGUCACUAGUUCAAAUCUUCAAGCAGACAAGGUGAAAAAUCUGUUGGUGUGUCUCUCUCUCUCUCCCUCCCUCUCUCUCCUUCUCUCUCUCCCUUUCUCUAUCUCCCUUUCUCAUCUCCCUUUCCCUCUCUCUCCCUCCCCAUCCCUUUCUCACUCUCCCUUUCUCCCUCCCACUCUCCCUUCCUCUCCCUCCCUCUCCCUCUCCCUCCCUCUCUCUGACUCCAGGUGGGUUUCAUAGACUACAUAGUCCACCCUCUGUGGGAGACGUGGGGUGACCUGGUCCACCCUGAUGCUCAGGACCUGCUGGACACGUUGGAGGAGAACAGAGACUGGUACCAGUCCACCAUGCCUCAGAGCCCCUCUCCUCCCUACGACAAACACCUGCUCACAGACCGCUUCCAGUUUGAGCUGGCACUGGAAGAUGUGGAGCCCAACCACAACCACAUACAACAACUCAACGGGUCCAACCACAUGGUCAGACAGGAGAACGGAAACCAGGACAAUUCAAAGGAGGACCAUGUUGAAGAGGUGGAGGAGAACCAUGUUGAAGAGGAGAUAGAGGACCAUGUCGAGGAGGAGGAGGAGGAGAACCAUCUUGAAGAGGAGAACCAUGUUGAAGAGGUGGAGGAGAACCAUGUUGAGGAGGAGAAUCAUGUUGAAGAGGUGGAGGGGAACCGUGUUGAAGAGGAGGAGGACCAUGUUGAAGAGGAGGAGGAGGAGAACCAUGUUGAAGUGGAGGAGGAGAACCAUGUUGAGGAGGAGAAUCAUGUUGAAGAGGAGAUAGAGGACCAUGUUGAAGAGGAGGAGGACCAUGUUGAAGAGGAGGAGGAAGAAGACCAUGUUGAAGGGGAGGAGGACGACCAUGUUGAAGAGGAGGAGGAGGACCAUGUUGAAGAGGAGGAGGAGGACCAUGUUGAAGAGGCGGAGGAGAACAAUGUUGAAGAGGAGGAGGACCAUGUUGAAGAGGCGGAGCAGAACCAUGUUGAAGAGGAGGCAGAAGAAGAUAGAGGAGAGGAGGAUGUCAAAGAUAAUGGGGAUGUGGAGAACCAAAAUGGAGAACAAGACUGUGUUGGGGAAGAGCAGAAGGAAGGAGAAGAAGAGGAGGAGGAGGAAGAAGGAGAGGAACAGGAGGAGGAAGAAAGAGAGGAACAGGAGAAAGAAGGAGAGGAGGUGGAGAAAGAAGAGGAGGAGGAUGAGGAGAAAGAAGGAGAGGAGGUGGAGAAAGAAGAGGAGGAGG
Molecule: long non-coding RNA, 1298 nt
Organism: Oncorhynchus tshawytscha (Chinook salmon)
Lineage: Eukaryota; Metazoa; Chordata; Actinopteri; Salmoniformes; Salmonidae
Source: Ensembl